UGUUCACAUAUUCUUUUUAUCUCCCUAAGGUGAUCAUCCAUUGACUUGUCUAACUUUUCCACUGUCUGAAGUUUGUGUUGCAGUUCAAAAAGUCUAGAAGCUGAUACCUUGUUGAAAUGCUGAGCCAGAGCUGACCAGAGUUCUUGAGCGGUAGUGGUGUGAACAACAUCACGAAGAAUAUCUUCGGAGAGAGAUCCAAGCAACCAGGCUCGAAUAACUUGAUUUGCUCGAUGCCACGACAGGAAGUCAGGAUUCGGGACAUAACCCACUUGGCCAUCGAUAGCAGGAACUGGGAUAGACGCUAGCGGUUGAGCAAAGGCACCAUUGACAAAGCCGAGAAGAUUUUGACCAGAGAGAAAAGACUCGAACUGGGAUUUCCAGAGGAGAUAGUUCUUUUCGGUCAGUUGCACAGUGACGCAAUUUGAGAUGUGAAGAGCAGGAGGAGAAUAAAGUUGAAUCAUUUGAUCCAUGGCUCUGAUACCAUAAAGAAGUCAGCUCAGCGGCUCUUUAGGUAAUAAACAUUUAUCUCUUUUAUUUCCUUAAAUCAUUAAGUUACAUCACUUGUCUUUAUAUAGACUUUACAAUAUUAGGGUUUUUUCCAUGAGAAAGCUCAUUCAUCACAUGAGUCUAGACAAUCAAAUCUGUUCUUCAAUUGUAUUGGUACAGUCAAUUGUUCUCUUUGCUUUGCUGGCUCUGUUUUCGUUUGUUUGUGCAGGUGGAUAAGACCGUUGGAAGCUUGGAGAAGCUUGAAUAGUUGUAGUCUUUUCAACUUUGCAUUGGGCUGAGGGAGGUUUAUUGGGCUUGACGGUAAUGAGCUUGUUUGAGGUAGAGCCCAUUACCGUUUUGAUCACAUCAAUCUAAGGAGCUGGAGCUGUUGAGUUCUUGACUGAGGGAACCGGAGCUGUUGAGUUCUUGCUGAUAAUUACUAUUCAUAAUUUUACAAUGUGCAUUAUGAUAUCGCACCAAUACUACAUUCAUCAAUAGAUAAAAUCAUUAUAAAUUUAUCACAUUCAUAAGCAUGUAUUUACAUGACAAUACAGAGUACCAUCGAAAAUGACAUGAUCGCCAAAAAUAUAUGCGAGAUUUUAUGGA
This is a non-coding RNA of Camelina sativa (false flax), 1092 nucleotides long. NCBI's taxonomy places the organism in Eukaryota, Viridiplantae, Streptophyta, Magnoliopsida, Brassicales, Brassicaceae. The record is from RefSeq and is a predicted model, not a curated record.